GGCUUGGAAGCUGAAGAACUGGGGCAGUUUGAGGUGACGAGAGAGGAUGUUCUAAACUGUCUUGAAAAACUAAAAAUUAACAGAUCGUCAGAGCCAGAUGGCAUCCAACCAAGAAUUCUGAAGGCUCAGAAUCAAGUAGCAUGUGAUGCUCAGUCUGAACAGUGGUCUCCAUGAAGGUUUUAAUUACAUCAGGUACUGGAUUAAAAAGCAGCUUAGAAGCAGCAAUUUUGAAAGGAGUCCAGGAGGAUGCUAGCAUAGCUACAGGUAAAGUCAAGGAAGCCAUAAAGAAGAAGAAGAAGAAGAAGAAGAAGAAGAAGAAGAAGAAGAAGAAGAAAUUUCCUUCUGAAAUUGGUAGGCCUGCACAAAUGAAGAGAACAGAAAGGAACACAAACUCUGGCAAAAGAAAUGCAAGGUGACAAUAAGGAAGGAAAAAAGAGAGUUUGAGGAACAUUUAGCUAAAAGCAUCAAGGAGGAUUUAAAAAACUCUUUUAAAUACAUCAGAAGCAGGAAACCUGCCAUGGAGGAAGUUGGACCAUUAAGACAAUGAGGGAGUGAACGGGAUGAUAUGGAAGUUACAGAGAAGCUAAAUGAGAAGCUAAAUGAGAAUCUGUCUUCCUGGCAGGAUACUGAGCAUAUACCUGUUCCUGAAUCAGGCUUUCUGGGGACAGAGGUUAAAGAACGGAGUCAGAUAGAAGUGACAAGAGAUGAUGUUCUAAACUGUCUGGAAAAAUUGAAAACCACAUCUAAAAAAGGACAUUGUAGAACUGGAAAAGGUACAGAAGAGGGGAACCAAGAUGAUCAGGGGCCUAGAGCACCUUCCUUAGGAGGCAAGACUAUAACACCUGGGGCUUUUUAGUUUAGAAAAAAAAAGGCGACUGCAGGGAGACAUGCAUGGUGUGGAGAAAUCAUGCAUGGUGUGGUGAAAGAGGAUAGAGAGAAAUUCUUCUCCCUCUCACAUAACUCUAAACUGACUGCCAGAAAAUUUAGGACCAACCAAUGAAAGUACUUUUUCACACAGCACAUAAUCAACUUGUGGAAUUCUCUGCCACAAGAUGUGGUGACAGACAACAACCUGGAUGGCUUUAAGAGGGGUUUGGAUAACUUCAUGGAGGAGAGGUCUAUCAACGGCUACUAGUUGGAGGACUAUAGGCCACCUCCAGCCUCAGAGGCAGGAUGCCUCUGAGUACCAGUUCCAGGGGAGUAACAUCAGGAGGAAAAGCAUGGCCUCAACUCCUGCCUGUAGACUUCCAGUGGCAUCUGGUGGGCCACUGUAUGAAACAAGAUGCUG
Hemicordylus capensis (graceful crag lizard) is the source of this 1288-nucleotide long non-coding RNA. RefSeq lists it as uncharacterized. The transcript has 3 exons. The record is from RefSeq and is a predicted model, not a curated record. NCBI's taxonomy places the organism in Eukaryota, Metazoa, Chordata, Lepidosauria, Squamata, Cordylidae.